UACGAAGGGGGCUAGCGUUGCUCGGAAUCACUGGGCGUAAAGCGCACGUAGGCGGGUUUGUAAGUAGGGGGUGAAAUCCCAGAGCUCAACUCUGGAACUGCCUUCUAAACUGCAAGCCUGGAGGUCAGGAGAGGCGAGUGGAAUACCGAGUGUAGAGGUGAAAUUCGUAGAUAUUCGGUGGAACACCAGUGGCGAAGGCGACUCGCUGGACUGAUACUGACGCUGAGGUGCGAAAGCGUGGGGAGCAAACAGG
This 253-nucleotide ribosomal RNA is filed under the name uncultured bacterium. RNAcentral's name for it is "partial 16S ribosomal RNA". It matches the Rfam family "Bacterial small subunit ribosomal RNA", at positions 524 to 776 of the family's 1533-position model. The record is from RNAcentral.